Molecule: ribosomal RNA, 400 nt
Filed under: uncultured bacterium
Lineage: Bacteria
Description: bacterial SSU rRNA
Rfam family: Bacterial small subunit ribosomal RNA
Source: RNAcentral
UGGGGAAUAUUGGACAAUGGGCGAAAGCCUGAUCCAGCCAUGCCGCGUGAGUGAUGAAGGCCUUAGGGUUGUAAAGCUCUUUUAGCAGGGAAGAUAAUGACGGUACUAUUUAUAAGCUCCGGCUAACUACGUGCCAGCAGCCGCGGAAAUACGUAGGGAGCAAGCGUUGUUCGGAUUUACUGGGCGUAAAGGGCGCGUAGGCGGCGCGGUAAGUCACUUGUGAAAUCUCUGAGCUUAACUCAGAACGGCCAAGUGAUACUGCAGUGCUAGAGUGCAGAAAGGGCAAUCGGAAUUCUUGGUGUAGCGGUGAAAUGCGUAGAUAUCAAGAGGAACACCUGAGGCGAAGGCGGGUUGCUAGGCUGACACUGACGCUGAGGCGCGAAAGCCAGGGGAGCAAACG